RNAcentral lists this unclassified non-coding RNA (277 nucleotides) under Hevea brasiliensis (rubber tree). Lineage: Eukaryota; Viridiplantae; Streptophyta; Magnoliopsida; Malpighiales; Euphorbiaceae. The record is from RNAcentral.
AUCAUCAGCAAGGACAUGUCUGAUACAACAGGUAGAAGAUUGUGAAGACCCUUCCAAAUGAUACCUACAUUUGUAUUCUGUAGUGCUUAGUUUGAACUUCAUGAGCAAACUAUGACCUAGCACACUACAAACAUACAUAUGAACAAAGCCAUCACUCAUCAAGUUGACAACCAAUCCCUAACUACAAUUAGUUUUGCCAGCCACAAAUUCAUAGUUAAAUUAAAAGUUUGUUGCACCAUCACAAAUGUUACUGAAGCCAUUAGGCUAUGUCCAGUUA